UGGGGGCUCGUCCAACGGCAGGACAGCAGACUCUGGAUCUGUUGAUAGGGGUUCGAAUCCUCUGCCCCCAG
RNAcentral lists this transfer RNA (71 nucleotides) under Thermodesulfovibrio yellowstonii. RNAcentral describes it as "tRNA-Gln". It matches the Rfam family "tRNA". Rfam says of the family: Transfer RNA (tRNA) molecules are approximately 80 nucleotides in length. Their secondary structure includes four short double-helical elements and three loops (D, anti-codon, and T loops). The record is from RNAcentral. Lineage: Bacteria; Pseudomonadati; Nitrospirota; Thermodesulfovibrionia; Thermodesulfovibrionales; Thermodesulfovibrionaceae. RNAcentral also lists the same sequence under 4 other names.